UCCCUGGUGGCCCAGUGGUUAGGACUCUGUACUUUCACUGCAGCAGACCCGGGUUCAGUCCCUGGUCAGGGAA
This is a non-coding RNA of Bos taurus (domestic cattle), 73 nucleotides long. Lineage: Eukaryota; Metazoa; Chordata; Mammalia; Artiodactyla; Bovidae. The record is from Rfam.